Molecule: long non-coding RNA, 2254 nt
Filed under: Ficedula albicollis (Collared flycatcher)
Lineage: Eukaryota; Metazoa; Chordata; Aves; Passeriformes; Muscicapidae
Description: lncRNA (ENSFALG00000026245.1)
Source: RNAcentral
UGCAGGUCAAUUAGCAGGCACCUGGAUAAGAUUCAGGCCUCUGUUAAAAUCCCAUUAGAUACUAUUACAGGCGGUUGCUGCAUGUUUUCUACCAAUAUGAAUAUUGUAUUUAGAAAUGCAGAGUAGAUGGUAUGAAAAUUCUGACAGCUAUAAAUCUUGGAUUUGAAGUGGACGGCUUUAUUGACUGCUGCUGUCUCUGAGAUGGAGAGAAGGGAAAAUCUGUUUUUGUCUUUUGAUUCAAAAUGAGAAAGCACUAUUUAGGGAUGAUUGAUGGUUUAGAAAUGACUUACCAUGUGCUCCACAGGAUCAUAUUACCCUAGAUAAUAGGUUAAACAGGAAAGAGAGGCUUCUGAAUUCAAAGGCACUAAACAUAAUUUUAUUGCAACUGAGAAAAAUCAGUGCAAGUAUGACAUGGACAUGUUCAUUUAUAUUCUAGACCAAACUAAAAGAUCAUUCUACAAAUUAUUAAUUCCAGUCUAGGUGUGUGCCACCCUGAACUAUCGUCUGUGUCAUGAUACAUUUCGUAAUUUUUCACAUGCUGAGAAGAGAUAUUUUGAGUCCAUACUGAAGCUGUUCCAUGUCCACUCACUCUAGAAAUUUAAUGUUGCCAUAGAAAAAAGCUGAGAUUAUAUCAACCUGUUCACUACCGUAUGUUGGGUUGCAUCUGUCUUGUACCCAGUGGAGCUGUAAUUGGGAAGGUCACCAGAUUUUUUUUUUAAUGUCAGGAAAUUUCUUGUGAAUUGAGGAUAAAAUUAUGUCUCUGUUGAAUCAAAGAGAAAAAAUUAUUUUGCUUUUUGUGGAGCUAGCAUUUUACUCGAACUUUUCCACAUGUCUAUAUUUAGAUUAUGCUCCAAAGCACACAGAGAACAGAUGGGAAAAUCAUUCAACCUGCCUGUAUCUCAAGUUUCCGAUCUAUACAACUAGGAGGAUAAUAUACACCUCAGGUUAUCAAAAACAUGUCACUGGCAAACAGAGAUAGUGUCUCCCUUUGACAAUUUGUCCCAUCCAUAAAAGACUAAAUAUUAUGAAGAAUUUAUACCAGAAUUGCUGUGAGGGAAGUUCAGGUAUAGAUGUCUUACUCUAAAUUAACUCUCCACCGUAACAAAUGUAACCAUAACACCCAAAACAGCUCCGGCCGCCACCCAGCAUGGAUCCCAUGGCUAUCUGCAAGCCUCAGGUGAGAUAUUAACUCUUCCACUGCACAGAUGAAACCUCCAAACCCUCAAUCCUCUCUCGAGUAGGAGAAAAGGGAGGAGUGAAGGUACAGGGAGAACAGCAUAGAGCCAUGGAGGUCACUAGAGAAAGAAGAGUCAGUAAAGAAAGAGGAGGUGCCCUAGCUUGGACUGGAAUUCUCUUGGAAGGCUGUGGUGGAGAUAUGAUUGAUACAUCAGACUCUUUUUCCCUGUAGCUCAUUGAAAAGCAUGGGGGGAAGAAGCGUUCAAAUUGUGGACAUGAGGAACAGGCAUCCAUGCUGAACAAGCAGGUGUUGAAGUAGCUGUGAUUCCACUGGAAGCUCGAGCAGGGAGAGAGGAGAGUGAUGAAGACCCUUAGCCCCCAGGGAAGAUCUCUGUUCCCAGACAUGAAGAUGAUCUCAGAGAUAGAUGAAGAAAACUUCUGCUUCUAAAAAGUUCAUUCUCAAAAGCAUACCACAUCAGCCAAAGAUUGAGCCCUCGAAAACAGUUGUGGGGAAAGCUGUAAGUCAAGGGGAGGGUCUUUUACAGUGAUCAGAUUUCUGAUCUCUGGGUGGCUGAUUCACUGUGACAUUGAAGCCACAAGAGAACAGUUUCUUGUGGAGAAGUCUCCAUAGCAUGACAAGAGAGACUCCUCUCCCCAAGCAAAUUAAAGAAAGACUAUUUUAGCUGUGAUAAACUGACUGAAUUGUUUCUGUACAUUGUCAGAGGGAAAGAAAAGAGAGUGUGUGGGGGGGAGAAGCACUCUGAAAGUUUUAUUCUGAUUGUUAUUAUUCUUUUUGUUCUGUUAAUAAAAUUUUUCUUUAUACCCUUUAAAGUGUAAGCCUGCAUUGCCUUGCUCCUAAUCCUAUCUCACAGCAGGAAAUGAGUAAAUAGUUCUGGUGAGUGCACUAGCUAUUUAGCCAGCACUAAACCCAUCACAUAAAUUAGUGCAUUAGCCAAAAAAAUCUCAAAUUAGCAAACCAAUAUCUCUACAAAGGGAAAGUAAAAUUUCUGGAAAACAGUAAGAGAAAUCUUUGCUUUUUAUGAAGCCCCUCUAGUGAAAACAAAAUUACCAGAUUCAC